RNAcentral lists this long non-coding RNA (875 nucleotides) under Mytilus galloprovincialis (Mediterranean mussel). Lineage: Eukaryota; Metazoa; Mollusca; Bivalvia; Mytilida; Mytilidae. The record is from RNAcentral.
CAACUGUCAUAUUUCUGACUUGGUCCAGGAAUUUUCAAAUGUAGAAAAUGGUGGAUUGAACCUGGUGUUAUAGCGCUUAAUCUCUCAUUUGUAUGACAAUCGCAUCAAAUUCCAUUAUAUUUACAACGUUGUUUAAACAAAACAGACAUAAUUAGUAAAAUUGUCAAAAUAGGGGUACAGCAUUCAUCACUGUAACAAUUUCAAUUAGAACAAGAACAAAUAAAUAUUUAACAAAGAAGCACAAAAAAGCAUCUAUCAAAUUUAAUAACCACAUCCAUUGCUUACUUAUACAAAAAAAAAAAGAUGUGGUUUGAUUGCCUAAGAGACAACUCUCCACAAAAGACCAAAAUGUUACAGAAAUUAACAACUAUAUAGGUCACCGUACGGCCUUCAACAAUGAACAAAGCCCAUACCGCAUAUUCAGAUAUAAAAGCCCAAAAAUGACAAUGUAAAACAAUUCAAACGAGAAAACUAACGCCCUGAUUUUAUAUAAAAAAAUAACGAAAAACAAAUAUGUAACACAUAAACUAACGACAAACACUGAAUUACAGGCCCUUGACCUGAGACAGGCACAUACAUACAAAAUGUGGCAAGGUUUAACAAGUUAGUGGGUUCCAAACCCUCCUCCUAACUUGGGACAGUGAUAUAACAGUACAACAUAAGAACGAAUUAUAAAAAUCCGUUGAAAAAGGCUUAACUCAUCAGAUGGACAAAAAUAUAAGUGGCCGUGGCCGGGUACUUGUACGUCCCAACAACAAAAACACACUAGAUCUGAGAGUACUCGCAAUUAACUGACAACUUGUUCAAAGCCACUAACAACUACUUAAUGAAAAAUCAUGCAUCAAAGUCUAAAUAUAUGUAUUGUAAAUCAACCC